CCUCCCACCCUUGUCUCUCUACACCUGUUGCUUUGGCGGGCCCACUGGGGCUCCCUGGUCGCCGGGGGACGCCUGUCCCCGGGCCCGCGCCCGCCGAAGCGCUUCGUGAACCCUGAUGAAGAAGGGCUGUCUGAGUACUAUGAAAAUUGUCAAAACUUUCAACAAUGGAUCUCUUGGUUCCGGCAUCGAUGAAGAACGCAGCGAAAUGCGAUAAGUAAUGUGAAUUGCAGAAUUCCGUGAAUCAUCGAAUCUUUGAACGCACAUUGCGCCCCCUGGCAUUCCGGGGGGCAUGCCUGUCCGAGCGUCAUUUCUGCCCUCAAGCACGGCUUGUGUGUUGGGUGUGGUCCCCCCGGGGACCUGCCCGAAAGGCAGCGGCGACGUCCGUCUGGUCCUCGAGCGUAUGGGGCUCUGUCACUCGCUCGGGAGGGACCUGCGGGGGUUGGUCACCACCACAUUUUCUAUUAUGGUUGACCUCGGAUCAGGUAGGAGUUACCCGCUGAACUUAAGCAUA
This 511-nucleotide ribosomal RNA is filed under the name Penicillium spinulosum. Its description in RNAcentral is "eukaryotic LSU rRNA". The stretch from base 154 to 307 matches the Rfam family "5.8S ribosomal RNA". The record is from RNAcentral. Lineage: Eukaryota; Fungi; Ascomycota; Eurotiomycetes; Eurotiales; Aspergillaceae.